ACGCAUCGUUAUUGGUAGUCUUUACUACAUGGAUAUCUGUGGUAAUUCUAGAGCUAAUACAUGCGAAAAAUCCCGACUUCUGGAAGGGAUGUUUUUUUUUAAUUAAAAAACAAUGCCAGUCUACGGCUCGUUUUCGUGGUGAAUCAAGAUAACUUUUCUAAUCGCAGGGCCCGCGCGCAAGAUAUGUUUCAUUUGAGUUCCCGCCCUAUUACCUGUGGAUGGUAAGGCACCGCCUUACCUUGGGUGGAACAGGAGAAAGAAAAUUUUGGUUCCAUUCCGGAGAGGGAACCAGAGACCCCCCUACCCCAUGGAAGGAAGGGGGCAGGCAAUUAAAUUACCCAAUCCCGAGGCGGGGAGGGAGUGAAAAAAAAUAACGAGGCCGGGUCCUAUUUGGUCUCGUAGGUGGAAUUAUUACAAUUUUCCUCCUUU
This 429-nucleotide ribosomal RNA is filed under the name uncultured marine picoeukaryote. RNAcentral's name for it is "partial 18S ribosomal RNA". It matches the Rfam family "Eukaryotic small subunit ribosomal RNA", at positions 110 to 535 of the family's 1831-position model. The record is from RNAcentral.